RNAcentral lists this ribosomal RNA (511 nucleotides) under uncultured bacterium. Its description in RNAcentral is "partial 16S ribosomal RNA". It matches the Rfam family "Bacterial small subunit ribosomal RNA", at positions 28 to 523 of the family's 1533-position model. The record is from RNAcentral.
GACGAACGCUGGCGGCGUGCCUAAUACAUGCAAGUCGAGCGAAUCAAUGGGAGCUUGCUCCCUGAGAUUAGCGGCGGACGGGUGAGUAACACGUGGGUAACCUGCCUGUAAGACUGGGAUAACUUCGGGAAACCGGAGCUAAUACCGGAUACGUUCUUUUCUCGCAUGAGAAGAGAUGGAAAGAUGGUUCUGCUAUCACUUACAGAUGGACCCGCGGCGCAUUAGCUAGUUGGUGAGGUAACGGCUCACCAAGGCGACGAUGCGUAGCCAACCUGAGAGGGUGAUCGUCCACACUGGGACUGAGACACGGCCCAGACUCCUACGGGAGGCAGCAGUAGGGAAUCUUCCGCAAUGGACGAAAGUCUGACGGAGCAACGCCGCGUGAGCGAAGAAGGCCUUCGGGUCGUAAAGCUCUGUUGUUAGGGAAGAACAAGUACGAGAGUAACUGCUCGUACCUUGACGGUACCUAACCAGAAAGCCACGGCUAACUACGUGCCAGCCGCCGCCGUAA